RNAcentral lists this microRNA precursor (84 nucleotides) under Bombyx mori (domestic silkworm). RNAcentral's name for it is "mir-2807 microRNA precursor family". It matches the Rfam family "mir-2807 microRNA precursor family". The record is from Rfam by way of RNAcentral. Lineage: Eukaryota; Metazoa; Arthropoda; Insecta; Lepidoptera; Bombycidae.
UAAACUAAAAUUAGUAUGAAGUUGAUCAGGGUGCCUACGUUUGCCGCUAGGGGCGCUGUUCCAACUCGAUACAAAUUUGAGUUA